GAUGAACGCUAGCUACAGACUUAACACAUGCAAGUCGAGGGGUAACGAGAGGGAAGCUUUCUUUCCUUGUCGACGACCGGCGCACGGGUGAGUAACGCGUAUCCAACCUGCCCCCAACUAGGGAAUAACCUUGCGAAAGUAAGACUAAUACCCUAUAAUUUCCUCAGAUGUCAUCUGACGAGGAAUAAAGAUUUAUCGGUUGUGGAUGGGGAUGCGUCUGAUUAGCUUGUUGGCGGGGUAACGGCCCACCAAGGCAACGAUCAGUAGGGGUUCUGAGAGGAAGGUCCCCCACAUUGGAACUGAGACACGGUCCAAGCUCCUACGGGAGGCAGCAGUGAGGAAUAUUGGUCAAUGGGCGGAAGCCUGAACCAGCCAAGUAGCGUGCAGGAUGACGGCCCUAUGGGUUGUAAACUGCUUUUAUACAGGAAUAAAGUUAGCCACGUGUGGUUAUUUGUAGGUACUGUAUGAAUAAGGACCGGCUAAUUCCGUGCCAGCCGCCGCAGUAA
This 506-nucleotide ribosomal RNA is filed under the name uncultured bacterium. Its description in RNAcentral is "partial 16S ribosomal RNA". It matches the Rfam family "Bacterial small subunit ribosomal RNA", at positions 28 to 523 of the family's 1533-position model. The record is from RNAcentral.